RNAcentral lists this ribosomal RNA (465 nucleotides) under uncultured bacterium. RNAcentral describes it as "partial 16S ribosomal RNA". It matches the Rfam family "Bacterial small subunit ribosomal RNA", at positions 28 to 507 of the family's 1533-position model. The record is from RNAcentral.
GACGAACGCUGGCGGCGUGCUAAACACAUGCAAGUCGAACGGAAAGGCCCCUUUGGGGGUACUCGAGUGGCGAACGGGUGAGUAACACGUGAGUAACCUGCCCUUGACUUCAGGAUAACUUCAGGAAACUGGGGCUAAUACCGGAUAGGAAUCCUUGCUGCAUGGUGGGGGUUGGAAAGCUUCGGCGGUUUUGGAUGGACUCGCGGCUUAUCAGCUUGUUGGUGGGGUAGUGGCUUACCAAGGCUUUGACGGGUAGCCGGCCUGAGAGGGCGACCGGCCACAUUGGGACUGAGAUACGGCCCAGACUCCUACGGGAGGCAGCAGUGGGGAAUAUUGCACAAGGGGCGGAAGCCUGAUGCAGCAACGCCGCGUGCGGGAUGACGGCCUUCGGGUUGUAAACCGCUUUCAGCAGGGGCGAAGCUUGUGGUGACGGUACCUGCAGAAGAAGCACCGGCUAACUACGUG